This 274-nucleotide ribosomal RNA is filed under the name uncultured bacterium. Its description in RNAcentral is "partial 16S ribosomal RNA". It matches the Rfam family "Bacterial small subunit ribosomal RNA", at positions 523 to 796 of the family's 1533-position model. The record is from RNAcentral.
AUACGGAGACUGCAAGCGUUAUUCGGAUUCACUGGGCGUAAAGGGUGCGCAGGCGGCUAGAUGUGUCAGGUGUGAAAUCCCGGGGCUUAACUCCGGAACUGCGCCUGAAACUGUCUAGCUAGAGUCUCGGAGAGGUAAGCGGAAUUCCAGGUGUAGCGGUGAAAUGCGUAGAUAUCUGGAGGAACACCAAAGGCGAAGGCAGCUUACUGGACGACGACUGACGCUCAGGCACGAAAGCGUAGGUAGCGAAAGGGAUUAGAAACCCUAGUAGUCC